UCAGGCUGCUAUGAAGAAAUACCCAAGACUGGGUACUUUCUCAACUUUCAAAUUGAGCUGUUCAGAAUGUGUGAAACAAUUUUAAGAUGAAGUCAAAGAUACUUGAAGCAGAAGCUGUAUCUGAGGAAGCUGUAUAUAAACCCAAUUUAAAGCAAGUUUAACCUGCUGAUUGGGAAGAAUUUUUAUGAAAAGCUGUGUGCUUCCUGAUAAGAAAAAAGGCUUUCCUGUUUCGAUCAAACCAGAACCAGAUGAGAACUCAGCACAGGCACUGCAGCCACGGAGGUUUCCAGAUAGAAAAAUUGACACCCCUGAGAUCCCAUAACAUUUUGGGGACUCAUCUGGGAUCUGCGGAAGGAGCUUGACUCUUUUCAUUGGCAAUAAAUGGCGCCCCAACAUGGGGACUCAGAGAAGACUCAGGAGCCCCAAGCAGUUGUCCGAAAUCAGAGCUAAGGUACCAGCCAGGGUUAAUUGAAGACUCACCAAGUUCAAGCUUCUCCUUUGGUGGAACUGCUGAGAUUGAAGAACACUUGAAAAUUAUCAAGAAUGUACUGCGGAGUAUUGAAAUUGCAAGUUAUCAUCAAAGGAAGCUAUGAAUUCUCCCCUUCAAAUUUUAUGUUGAAAAGUAACCUCCAAUGUUGGAACUGAGCCUAGUGGGCGGUGAUUUCGUCAUGUGGGCAGAUUCCUCGUGAAUGGAUUGUGGCUGUCCUCACCUUA
This 714-nucleotide long non-coding RNA is filed under the name Homo sapiens (human). RNAcentral's name for it is "HSALNT0209962". Lineage: Eukaryota; Metazoa; Chordata; Mammalia; Primates; Hominidae. The record is from RNAcentral.